Molecule: ribosomal RNA, 1418 nt
Filed under: Pediococcus sp. S17
Lineage: Bacteria; Bacillati; Bacillota; Bacilli; Lactobacillales; Lactobacillaceae
Description: bacterial SSU rRNA
Rfam family: Bacterial small subunit ribosomal RNA
Source: RNAcentral
CGAACUUCCGUUUAAUUGAUUAUGACGUACUUGUACUGAUUGAGAUUUUAACACGAAGUGAGUGGCGAACGGGUGAGUAACACGUGGGUAACCUGCCCAGAAGUAGGGGAUAACACCUGGAAACAGAUGCUAAUACCGUAUAACAGAGAAAACCGCAUGGUUUUCUUUUAAAAGAUGGCUCUGCUAUCACUUCUGGAUGGACCCGCGGCGUAUUAGCUAGUUGGUGAGGUAAAGGCUCACCAAGGCAGUGAUACGUAGCCGACCUGAGAGGGUAAUCGGCCACAUUGGGACUGAGACACGGCCCAGACUCCUACGGGAGGCAGCAGUAGGGAAUCUUCCACAAUGGACGCAAGUCUGAUGGAGCAACGCCGCGUGAGUGAAGAAGGGUUUCGGCUCGUAAAGCUCUGUUGUUAAAGAAGAACGUGGGUAAGAGUAACUGUUUACCCAGUGACGGUAUUUAACCAGAAAGCCACGGCUAACUACGUGCCAGCAGCCGCGGUAAUACGUAGGUGGCAAGCGUUAUCCGGAUUUAUUGGGCGUAAAGCGAGCGCAGGCGGUCUUUUAAGUCUAAUGUGAAAGCCUUCGGCUCAACCGAAGAAGUGCAUUGGAAACUGGGAGACUUGAGUGCAGAAGAGGACAGUGGAACUCCAUGUGUAGCGGUGAAAUGCGUAGAUAUAUGGAAGAACACCAGUGGCGAAGGCGGCUGUCUGGUCUGCAACUGACGCUGAGGCUCGAAAGCAUGGGUAGCGAACAGGAUUAGAUACCCUGGUAGUCCAUGCCGUAAACGAUGAUUACUAAGUGUUGGAGGGUUUCCGCCCUUCAGUGCUGCAGCUAACGCAUUAAGUAAUCCGCCUGGGGAGUACGACCGCAAGGUUGAAACUCAAAAGAAUUGACGGGGGCCCGCACAAGCGGUGGAGCAUGUGGUUUAAUUCGAAGCUACGCGAAGAACCUUACCAGGUCUUGACAUCUUCUGACAGUCUAAGAGAUUAGAGGUUCCCUUCGGGGACAGAAUGACAGGUGGUGCAUGGUUGUCGUCAGCUCGUGUCGUGAGAUGUUGGGUUAAGUCCCGCAACGAGCGCAACCCUUAUUACUAGUUGCCAGCAUUAAGUUGGGCACUCUAGUGAGACUGCCGGUGACAAACCGGAGGAAGGUGGGGACGACGUCAAAUCAUCAUGCCCCUUAUGACCUGGGCUACACACGUGCUACAAUGGAUGGUACAACGAGUCGCGAGACCGCGAGGUUAAGCUAAUCUCUUAAAACCAUUCUCAGUUCGGACUGUAGGCUGCAACUCGCCUACACGAAGUCGGAAUCGCUAGUAAUCGCGGAUCAGCAUGCCGCGGUGAAUACGUUCCCGGGCCUUGUACACACCGCCCGUCACACCAUGAGAGUUUGUAACACCCAAAGCCGGUGGGGUAACC